RNAcentral lists this ribosomal RNA (462 nucleotides) under uncultured bacterium. Its description in RNAcentral is "partial 16S ribosomal RNA". It matches the Rfam family "Bacterial small subunit ribosomal RNA", at positions 28 to 507 of the family's 1533-position model. The record is from RNAcentral.
GACGAACGCUGGCGGCGUGCUUAACACAUGCAAGUCGAGCGACGCUCUUCCUUCGGGGAGAUGACGGAGCGGCGAACGGGUGAGUAACACGUGGGCAACCUGCCCCUAGCUCUGGGACAACACCGGGAAACCGGUGCUAAUACCGGAUACGACAUCGAGCGGCAUCUCUCGAUGUGGAAAGUUUUUUCGGCUAGGGAUGGGCCCGCGGCCUAUCAGCUUGUUGGUGGGGUAAUGGCCCACCAAGGCGACGACGGGUAGCCGGCCUGAGAGGGCGACCGGCCACACUGGGACUGAGACACGGCCCAGACUCCUACGGGAGGCAGCAGUGGGGAAGAUUGCGCAAUGGGCGAAAGCCGGACGCAGCGACGCCGCGUGAGGGAUGACGGCCUUCGGGUUGUAAACCUCUUUCAGCAGGGACGAAUUCAGACGGUACCUGCAGAAGAAGCACCGGCCAACUACGUG